CUCAGCUGUUGUUGAAAAUCUAACUGCAGGUUUUGGUAAAGAUAUAAAGGUGAAACUGGGAUAUAACCAUGGAUGUAUCAAAGAUGAAAGUUGAACCCUUUUCUGAAAAUGAACAGGAUGAUUUGUUGGAUAUGAAAAAUGAAGAUGAAACUCCUACAUUAUCUAGUAUAGAAGCUGAUUCCUUACAACAAAGAUCUUUACAUACCAUUUUGAAGUUUGGUGUAGUGAAAGAGGAACAAGAAGAGAACUGUGAUGAAGGAACAGAAAAAACUGAGGUAAUUUUUGUU
Limulus polyphemus (Atlantic horseshoe crab) is the source of this 287-nucleotide long non-coding RNA. RefSeq lists it as uncharacterized. NCBI's taxonomy places the organism in Eukaryota, Metazoa, Arthropoda, Merostomata, Xiphosura, Limulidae. The record is from RefSeq and is a predicted model, not a curated record. The transcript is spliced from 4 exons.